GACGAACGCUGGCGGCGUGCCUAAUACAUGCAAGUCGAGCGCAGGAAGUCAUCCGAACCCUUCGGGGGGACGUUGACGGAAUGAGCGGCGGACGGGUGAGUAACACGUAAAGAACCUGCCCUCAGGUCUGGGAUAACCACGAGAAAUCGGGGCUAAUACCGGAUGGGUCAUCGGACCGCAUGGUCCGAGGAUGAAAGGCGCUCCGGCGUCGCCUGGGGAUGGCUUUGCGGUGCAUUAGCUAGUUGGUGGGGUAAUGGCCCACCAAGGCGACGAUGCAUAGCCGACCUGGUGGGGUGAUCGGCCACACUGGGACUGAGACACGGCCCAGACUCCUACGGGAGGCAGCAGUAGGGAAUCUUCCACAAUGGACGAAAGUCUGAUGGAGCAACGCCGCGUGAACGAUGAAGGCCCUCGGGUCGUAAAGUUCUGUUGUAAGGGAAGAACAAGUGCCGCAGGCAAUGGCGGCACCUUGACGGUACCUGGCGAGAAAGCCACGGCUAACUACGUG
Molecule: ribosomal RNA, 508 nt
Filed under: uncultured bacterium
Lineage: Bacteria
Description: partial 16S ribosomal RNA
Rfam family: Bacterial small subunit ribosomal RNA
Source: RNAcentral